RNAcentral lists this ribosomal RNA (1382 nucleotides) under Pseudocolochirus violaceus. RNAcentral describes it as "16S ribosomal RNA". It matches the Rfam family "Bacterial large subunit ribosomal RNA", at positions 465 to 2790 of the family's 2925-position model. Lineage: Eukaryota; Metazoa; Echinodermata; Holothuroidea; Dendrochirotida; Cucumariidae. The record is from RNAcentral.
AUAAAAUUUUACCCUUCCACCCCCCCCCUUUUUUUUCUUAAAAACAAUUAUCCCCAAAACCCAAAAAGUAUUAUAAAAGAAAAAUGAAAUAACAUGAAAAAUAAAACUAAAAAAGGAGAAACUCUCGUACCUUUUGUAUUAUGGUUCAACAAGAUUUAAAGAAAAAACCUUCAAACCCCGAAAUUUGAGGAGCUAACCUCUUCUUCUUAUAGAGAAACCAACCACUGUUGCAAGAGUGGUCAAAAAGAAUUGGUUAGAAGUAAAAUGCUCAACGAAUCAAAAAAUAGCUGGUUUUUAAAGAAAAAAGUCCAAGCUUUUUCCCUAAAACACAAACCCCCAGGAGAAAAGAAAAGAGGAGACAAGUCCGCUUUUCAAAAAGGAAACAACCAAAAAUAAAGGAAAAGAAAUAAAGAAAAAACCCUUAGUAGACCUAAAAGCGGCCACCCAAAAAGAAAGCGUUACAGCUCUAACAAUCAUUCUAAAAAUAACAUCCUAAAACUAAACCUUAUUACUAAAGUAUUUAAAAACCUACAAUGUUGAAACUAGUAAACCCUCCCUUACCAAAGAUAACAACUUAAACUUUUUUAAACACCCCUCCCACCAAGAAAAUAAAAAAGUACUAUCAACACAGACGGUAUAACAAACACAGAGAUAAAAAAGAAAAAAGGAACUAGGCAAACCCAGAAGAGGACUGUUUACCAAAAACAUAGCUCCUUGCAAACCCAUAAGGAGUAACGCCUGCCCAGUGGAAAAAUCUAAACGGCCGCGGUACCUUGACCGUGCAAAGGUAGCAUAAUCACUUGUCUUUUAAAUGAGGACCCGUAUGAAUGGCAAAACAUCUUCUAACUGUCUCUUUUCUUACCCUUCUAAACUUCUAACAAUGUGAAGAAGCAUUGAUAAUAAAGAAAGACGAGAAGACCCUGUCGAGCUUCAACUUCCAAAAGAAUCACCUAACUUUUUCAUAAAAAUUAACACAAUCUCUAAAGAAGUUUUGGUUGGGGCAACCAUGGAGAACAUCAAUCCUCCAGAACAACAAAAUAAAGAUCGUAAAUCAUAUUUUCCUUAAACUCUAAAUAAAGAACCAGACCCACUGGAAAACAGAAAAAGUUACCGCAGGGAUAACAGCGUCAUCUCCUUCAAGAGUCCAUAUUGACAAGGAGGAUUGCGACCUCGAUGUUGGAUUAGGGCCACCAAAGGGUGCAGCAGCUCUUAAGGUUGGACUGUUCGUCCAUUAAACCCCUACAUGAUCUGAGUUCAGACCGACGAAAGUCAGGUCAGCUUCUAUCUUCUUAAACCCCUUCCCAGUACGAAAGGACCGAAAGCAAACUUCCAAUAAUUUACAUCAAGAAGUAACAAAAUACCCAUUACCCUUCACCAUCACA